UACACAAUAAACAUAUGAUAGGCUGCACCGCCACAACAGGCGGCAAGGACUGGAGUAUUUUAUAUUACCCUAUUGUCUUUUGCGCACAUUGUUGAUUUCCUUGGGCUGGGUUAUCGCACCUGCCUCCAGGUACCACAUGAUAAUAACCUUUUUUAUGACAGUUGCAAUCAGCGUCAGUAUCAACACAAAUGUAAAUCAUUUUA
RNAcentral lists this unclassified non-coding RNA (203 nucleotides) under soil metagenome. Its description in RNAcentral is "partial internal transcribed spacer 1". The record is from RNAcentral.